GGGUUGUGAGGUUAAGCGACUAAGCGUACACGGUGGAUGCCCUGGCAGUCAGAGGCGAUGAAGGGCGUGCUAAUCUGCGAUAAGCGCCGGUAAGGUGAUAUGAACCGUUAUAACCGGCGAUACCCGAAUGGGGAAACCCAGUGUGAUUCGUCACACUAUCAUUAACUGAAUCCAUAGGUUAAUGAGGCGAACCGGGGGAACUGAAACAUCUAAGUACCCCGAGGAAAAGAAAUCAACCGAGAUUCCCCCAGUAGCGGCGAGCGAACGGGGAGGAGCCCAGAGCCUGAAUCAGCAUGUGUGUUAGUGGAAGCGUCUGGAAAGGCGCGCGAUACAGGGUGACAGCCCCGUACACAAAAGCGCAUGUGCUGUGAGCUCGAUGAGUAGGGCGGGACACGUGGUAUCCUGUCUGAAUAUGGGGGGACCAUCCUCCAAGGCUAAAUACUCCUGACUGACCGAUAGUGAACCAGUACCGUGAGGGAAAGGCGAAAAGAACCCCGGCGAGGGGAGUGAAAAAGAACCUGAAACCGUGUACGUACAAGCAGUGGGAGCCCCACCACUAAGCCAGUGGUGAACUCCACAUCCGCAUCCUUUGCUGAGGAUACGGUUAACGGAGCGAAAGCGACGUUCAACCGCAAAACAAGCAGAGGGGGCUUAGUGGUGGGGUGACUGCGUACCUUUUGUAUAAUGGGUCAGCGACUUAUAUUCUGUAGCAAGGUUAACCGAAUAGGGGAGCCGGAGGGAAACCGAGUCUUAAUUGGGCGUUAAGUUGCAGGGUAUAGACCCGAAACCCGGUGAUCUAGCCAUGGGCAGGUUGAAGGUUGGGUAACACUAACUGGAGGACCGAACCGACUAAUGUUGAAAAAUUAGCGGAUGACCUGUGGCUGGGGGUGAAAGGCCAAUCAAACCGGGAGAUAGCUGGUUCUCCCCGAAAGCUAUUUAGGUAGCGCCUCGUGAAUUCAUCUCCGGGGGUAGAGCACUGUUUCGGCUAGGGGGCCAUCCCGGCUUACCAACCCGAUGCAAACUGCGAAUACCGGAGAAUGUUAUCACGGGAGACACACGGCGGGUGCUAACGUCCGUCGUGAAGAGGGAAACAACCCAGACCGCCAGCUAAGGUCCCAAAGUCAUGGUUAAGUGGGAAACGAUGUGGGAAGGCCCAGACAGCCAGGAUGUUGGCUUAGAAGCAGCCAUCAUUUAAAGAAAGCGUAAUAGCUCACUGGUCGAGUCGGCCUGCGCGGAAGAUGUAACGGGGCUAAACCAUGCACCGAAGCUGCGGCAGCGAACGUAUCACCCAAGACAACUUUACGGAGUUGACGAUUGACGGAGCGAAGCGACGUCAAAGCGUUCAUUAAAGUCGAGUUGGCUUAGGGAUACGUUCGUUGGGUAGGGGAGCGUUCUGUAAGCCUGUGAAGGUGUGUCGUGAGGCAUGCUGGAGGUAUCAGAAGUGCGAAUGCUGACAUAAGUAACGAUAAAGCGGGUGAAAAGCCCGCUCGCCGGAAGACCAAGGGUUCCUGUCCAACGUUAAUCGGGGCAGGGUGAGUCGACCCCUAAGGCGAGGCCGAAAGGCGUAGUCGAUGGGAAACGGGUUAAUAUUCCCGUACUUGGUGUUACUGCGAAGGGGGGACGGAGAAGGCUAUGUUGGCCGGGCGACGGUUGUCCCGGUUUAAGCGUGUAGGUGUGUGUUCCAGGUAAAUCCGGUUCACUUUAACACUGAGGCGUGACGACGAGGCACUACGGUGCUGAAGCAACAAAUGCCCUGCUUCCAGGAAAAGCCUCUAAGCAUCAGGUAACACGAAAUCGUACCCCAAACCGACACAGGUGGUCAGGUAGAGAAUACCAAGGCGCUUGAGAGAACUCGGGUGAAGGAACUAGGCAAAAUGGUGCCGUAACUUCGGGAGAAGGCACGCUGACACGUAGGUGAAGUGAUUUACUCAUGGAGCUGAAGUCAGUCGAAGAUACCAGCUGGCUGCAACUGUUUAUUAAAAACACAGCACUGUGCAAACACGAAAGUGGACGUAUACGGUGUGACGCCUGCCCGGUGCCGGAAGGUUAAUUGAUGGGGUCAGCGCAAGCGAAGCUCCUGAUCGAAGCCCCGGUAAACGGCGGCCGUAACUAUAACGGUCCUAAGGUAGCGAAAUUCCUUGUCGGGUAAGUUCCGACCUGCACGAAUGGCGUAAUGAUGGCCAGGCUGUCUCCACCCGAGACUCAGUGAAAUUGAACUCGCUGUGAAGAUGCAGUGUACCCGCGGCAAGACGGAAAGACCCCGUGAACCUUUACUAUAGCUUGACACUGAACAUUGAGCCUUGAUGUGUAGGAUAGGUGGGAGGCUUUGAAGUGUGGACGCCAGUCUGCAUGGAGCCGACCUUGAAAUACCACCCUUUAAUGUUUGAUGUUCUAACGUGGACCCGUAAUCCGGGUUGCGGACAGUGUCUGGUGGGUAGUUUGACUGGGGCGGUCUCCUCCUAAAGAGUAACGGAGGAGCACGAAGGUUGGCUAAUCCUGGUCGGACAUCAGGAGGUUAGUGCAAUGGCAUAAGCCAGCUUGACUGCGAGCGUGACGGCGCGAGCAGGUGCGAAAGCAGGUCAUAGUGAUCCGGUGGUUCUGAAUGGAAGGGCCAUCGCUCAACGGAUAAAAGGUACUCCGGGGAUAACAGGCUGAUACCGCCCAAGAGUUCAUAUCGACGGCGGUGUUUGGCACCUCGAUGUCGGCUCAUCACAUCCUGGGGCUGAAGUAGGUCCCAAGGGUAUGGCUGUUCGCCAUUUAAAGUGGUACGCGAGCUGGGUUUAGAACGUCGUGAGACAGUUCGGUCCCUAUCUGCCGUGGGCGCUGGAGAACUGAGGGGGGCUGCUCCUAGUACGAGAGGACCGGAGUGGACGCAUCACUGGUGUUCGGGUUGUCAUGCCAAUGGCACUGCCCGGUAGCUAAAUGCGGAAGAGAUAAGUGCUGAAAGCAUCUAAGCACGAAACUUGCCCCGAGAUGAGUUCUCCCUGAGACUUAGAGUCUCCUGAAGGAACGUUGAAGACGACGACGUUGAUAGGCCGGGUGUGUAAGCGCAGCGAUGCGUUGAGCUAACCGGUACUAAUGAACCGUGAGGCUUAACCUUACAACGCCGAAG
This 3112-nucleotide ribosomal RNA is filed under the name Salmonella enterica. Its description in RNAcentral is "bacterial LSU rRNA". It matches the Rfam family "Bacterial large subunit ribosomal RNA". RNAcentral also lists the same sequence under 1 other name. Lineage: Bacteria; Pseudomonadati; Pseudomonadota; Gammaproteobacteria; Enterobacterales; Enterobacteriaceae. The record is from RNAcentral.